UUUAGUAUUAUAUGUAUUAAAGAGUCGUUUGGUGUGAGGUAUAAUUAUAAUAAUUCAGAGAUAAAGUUCAUGAUUAUUUAUCCUGCGUUUAAUUAGAUGUAUUAGAUAGUAUCAAAAUUAUUUGUCGCACCAUUUAUACCACAGUGAUGAGAUAAGUUAUCACACAUACAUGUUAGUACAACUUAUUUUGUAAUAACUAAUCCCGGAAUAACUUGUUUCCAAACAACCCACCCCAAAGUGUGUAUAUAUACAUAUGUAUGUACAUGCAUGUGCGUAUAUUUUCGUGUUUUAU
This 292-nucleotide long non-coding RNA is filed under the name Capsicum annuum. Its description in RNAcentral is "long non-coding RNA (CANN_LNC012071)". Lineage: Eukaryota; Viridiplantae; Streptophyta; Magnoliopsida; Solanales; Solanaceae. The record is from RNAcentral.